GACGAACGCUGGCGGCGUGCUUAACACAUGCCAGUCGAACGGAAAGGCCCCUUUGUGGGUACUCGCUUGGCUGACGGGCGGGUAACACAUGAGUAACCUACCCUUGCCUUCGGGUUGACUUCCGGCAACUGACUCUAAUACCGGCUAGGAAUGCUUUCUUCAUGGAGGGGGUGGGAAGGCUUCGGUGGUUUUGGAUGGACUCGCCGCCUAUCUACUUGGUUGUGGGGUGGGUGCUUACCAAGGCUUUCUCUGGCAGGCGGCCUGGGGGGGCGACCGGCCACAAUUGGGCUGGGGUACGGGCCAGACUCCUACGGGGGGCAACAGUGGGGGAUAUUGCAAAAAGGGCGGGAGGCUGAUGCAGCAACGCCGCGUGCGGGAUGAAGGCCUUCGGGGUGUAAACCGCUUUCAGCAGGGGCGAAGCUUGUGGUGACGGUACCUGGAGAAGAAGCACCGGCUAACUACGUG
This 465-nucleotide ribosomal RNA is filed under the name uncultured bacterium. RNAcentral describes it as "partial 16S ribosomal RNA". It matches the Rfam family "Bacterial small subunit ribosomal RNA", at positions 28 to 507 of the family's 1533-position model. The record is from RNAcentral.